This 404-nucleotide ribosomal RNA is filed under the name uncultured bacterium. RNAcentral's name for it is "bacterial SSU rRNA". It matches the Rfam family "Bacterial small subunit ribosomal RNA", at positions 354 to 775 of the family's 1533-position model. The record is from RNAcentral.
GUAGGGAAUAUUAGAAAUGGACGAAAGUCUGAUCUAGCAACACCGCGUGUGCGAAGAAGGCCUUUGGGUCGUAAAGCACUUUUUGGAAGGAAUAGGAAGGAAUGUACUUCCAGAAUAAGUCUCGGCUAACUACGUGCCAGCAGCCGCGGUAACACGUAGGAGGCAAACGUUAUCCGGAUUUACUGGGCGUAAAGCGCGUGUAGGUGGUACUGUAAGUAGGGCGUGAAAGCUCCUGGCUCAACUGGGAGAGGCCGUUCUAAACUACAGAACUAGAGGAUGGUAGAGGGAGGUGGAAUUCCAGGUGUAGCGGUGGAAUGCGCAGAUAUCUGGAGGAACACCGGUGGCGAAGGCGGCCUCCUGGACCAUUCCUGACACUCAGACGCGAAAGCUAGGGUAACAAACGG